UGUUCAACCGAAGCUUAGGCAAUGCAGUAAUGCAUUGGGUAGGGGAGCGUCGUAUGCGGGGUGAAGUCAGAGCGGAAGCACUGGUGGACUGCAUACGAGUGAGAAUGCCGGAAUAAGUAGCGAGAAUUAUGUGAGAAUCAUAAUGGCCGAAAAUCUAAGGUUUCUUGGGGAAGGUUCGUCCGCCCAAGGUUAGUCGGGAGCUAAGCUCAGGCCGAAAGGCGUAGGCGAUGCACAUACGGUAGAAAUUCCGUAACCACCGAACAUUUAAGCUAGAGGGACGCUUUCAUUAAGUCUAUCCCGGGCGAUGGUUGCCCCGGGCGUAAGGGACCGAAAUAUAGUAGGGAAGUAGACGGCGUGAGAGACGAGAAAAGCUCUAGUGUAUACUAAGGUGCCCGUACCGCAAACCGACACAGGUAGAUGGGAUGAGUAUUCUAAGGCCAACGGGAGAAGGGUUGUUAAGGAACUCGGCAAAUUGGCCCCGUAACUUCGGGAUAAGGGGCGCCUGCGAGAGCAGGCCGCAGUGAAAAGGCCCAAGCGACUGUUUAGCAAAAACACAGCUCUCUGCUAAAUCGAAAGAUGACGUAUAGGGGGUGACGCCUGCCCGGUGCUGGAAGGUUAAGGGGAGUGCUUAGCGCAAGCGAAGGUGCGAACUUAAGCCCCAGUAAACGGCGGCCGUAACUAUAACGGUCCUAAGGUAGCGAAAUUCCUUGUCAGGUAAGUUCUGACCCGCACGAAUGGCGUAACGAUUUGGGCACUGUCUCAACAGCCCGCCCGGCGAAAUUGUAGUACCGGUGAAGAUGCCGGUUUCCCGCAACUAGACGGAAAGACCCCAUGGAGCUUCACUGUAGCUUGAUAUUGGAUCUCGGUAUUCCAUGUACAGGAUAGGUGGGAGGCUAGGAAGUAAGCGCGCCAGCGUUUAUGGAGCCAACCUUGGGAUACCACUCUUGGGAUAUUGGGAUUCUAACCUGCGACCAUGAAUCUGGUCGGGGGACACUGUCAGGUGGGCAGUUUGACUGGGGCGGUC
RNAcentral lists this ribosomal RNA (1024 nucleotides) under human gut metagenome. Its description in RNAcentral is "bacterial LSU rRNA". It matches the Rfam family "Bacterial large subunit ribosomal RNA", at positions 1187 to 2284 of the family's 2925-position model. The record is from RNAcentral.